Molecule: small nucleolar RNA, 106 nt
Organism: Gossypium raimondii (Peruvian cotton)
Lineage: Eukaryota; Viridiplantae; Streptophyta; Magnoliopsida; Malvales; Malvaceae
Rfam family: Plant small nucleolar RNA R71
About the family: R71 is a member of the C/D box family of snoRNAs containing the C (UGAUGA) and D (CUGA) box motifs. Multiple nearly identical copies of this snoRNA have been identified in Arabidopsis, and it is thought to function as a 2'-O-ribose methylation guide for 18S ribosomal RNA.
Source: Rfam
AACCCAUGAUGAAGACACUUUCUCAAAAGAUCCUUAUACCUCUCUCAUGCAUCAUAUAAUGCCUCCAACUCAAUUUGAGAAAAAAAAGAUAUUUCAUUCCUCAAUU